This 343-nucleotide unclassified non-coding RNA is filed under the name soil metagenome. RNAcentral describes it as "partial contains 5.8S ribosomal RNA, internal transcribed spacer 2, and large subunit ribosomal RNA". The stretch from base 1 to 119 matches the Rfam family "5.8S ribosomal RNA", at positions 35 to 154 of the family's 154-position model. The record is from RNAcentral.
GAUGAAGAACGUAGCGAAAUGCGAUAAGUAAUGCGAAUUGCAGAAUCCGUGAAUCAUCGAAUCUUUGAACGCACAUUGCGCCCGCCAGUAUUCUGGCGGGCAUGCCUGUUCGAGCGUCAUUUCAACCCUCAAGCCCCCGGGCUUGGUGUUGGGGAUCGGCGUGCCCUCGCGGCGCGCCGUCCCCUAAAUCUAGUGGCGGUCUCGCUGUAGCUUCCUCUGCGUAGUAGCAACACUCGCACUGGAUCGCAGCGCGGCCACGCCGUUAAACCCCCCACUUCUGAAAGUUUGACCUCGGAUCAGGUAGGAAUACCCGCUGAACUUAAGCAUAUCAAUAAGCGGAGGA